UCUUUUUUUUCCUUCUUUUUCCCGAGAUUUUUCACAUGAAACCUGCAGUAGAUCGCUAGAAUUUGCUUUCCCAGCAUGCAUCUGUGGAGGGGGAUCCAGGGUGAAGAGAAAGAAAAUGGUUGAUUGAAAGGCGUGUUUCCUCAGCUUGUGUUGCCUCUCUGCAGCAGACCCUGCCUCCUUUGCAGAGGACUUUCAGUCACAGUGGAAAACAUCCACAGGGAGAAGACGGCGGCUGAUUGGACAAUCCGCCUUUAAAGGCUACCAAUGAGGCUCCAUCCUGGCUGCGUGUUUCCCCCUCCAUCACUGAACGCUCUGUCAGUCUGCGCAUAUCUUCAUGACUGCAGUGCUGCAUGCACACACGCUCCGGGGUCUGCUUGCGUGUGCAGGAUGCCAACAUCUCCAGCCGUGGAGGAGGGAGAGAGGAGAGGAGGAAGAUCCUGAAAACAGACGAGGAGGAAAGAGGAAAGACAGCUCUGGACCGCCGGGGAACGGAUGCUGCGGAGAAAGAGUGAGGGAGGGGCACACGACCAGGAGACCGUCUGAAGGAAGAGGCAGCAUCGCUGAUUUUCACCGACCGAAGGCAGCUCUAUUCGGUUGCCGUGGUGAUGGGCUGCUGGCUCUCUGGACCGUGGACGGGUGACCCCUUGGUGAGUGGGCGGAGUCUUGUUCACCUGAGCCAGCAGGAUGCUUUGCGGAUCAUGGAAACCAGUCAACGUCCAAUCACACUGCAGUUCAAAAGCCAAAGAGGGCGGCGCUCCAAUUCAGGUGGGGGAUCCUGGGAACCCCUGCCCCUCAACCUGCAUCACCUAAAUUUGCCCCUCCCACUGAUGGGACCUGAGCUGAACACGUCCAGCCCCUCCUACCAGGACAGACAUUACUUCAGCCGUCUGCCCCAGGAUCCCUGUGAUGGAGGGCGAUGCAGCUACCUACCCGACUCCCCACAGGACACGGUGGACGUCAACCAUCAGGAUCUUGGACUGAGAACUCGUCGCCCCCAGGGAAUGAACUGUCUGAUGGGGUGUUGCGGGACUGACUCAGAGGAACCUCCCACCUGCCACAGCCAGACAGAUGAUGAAGAUUUCAUGCUGGAGAAGCCUCAUGGUUUCUUGCCCCUCCACCAUGAGCUGGACAGUGGCCUGGGCUGGACGGACGGUUCCCUCCACCAAGGUGACCUCUCAGGCCUGGAGACUGAAGAGGGAGGUCUGGACGACUGCCACCCCCAGGGCCCUCGUGUCCCUGGAGGUUGUGGGGGAUUCGGAGGUGGCGGCUCUCCUUCCUCAGAGUCCUUCAUCUCCUCCGAGCUCAGCGACUCCGGCUUCUACAGCGUGAGCACCGGGGAGUUCAGGCACUUCCAGAGGUUGUUGGAGAGGAGGAUGCGUCUGUACAAUGCCAGGAUGCAACACCAGGGGGAGCCGUGUGAGAGGCGUGAGAGGCGGGACAGUUGUCCCAAGAGUCACCGCGAGUUGCUAGAAGCUAUUCCAGAGACGCUCACCACGCAGCCGCCGUGUCAGCGGCUGCUGCACGAGCUGGACCAGGGAACUCACGCAGCCAUGGAAGGACCGGGACGGGGACUGUUCAGGGUCUCAUCAGUCCAGUUCCACAAAGCUGACCGGCCCUGUCUCAACCGCCACAGCUCCAGCAGUGGAGCCCUCUUCAACCCCUCCCACACCCAACCCUCACGACUAAUUGGCCCGGUCCUCUCCACCUGCAGCAACCCAUUCCAAGCCAGCCUGCAGAAAGCCCAGCUACCAACAGCUCAGCAUUGUGGCUGCUCAGGAGAAGCCAACUUUUGCACCACCGGCCCCUCUCGCUAA
This is a long non-coding RNA of Oryzias javanicus (javanese ricefish), 1814 nucleotides long. The record is from Ensembl. Lineage: Eukaryota; Metazoa; Chordata; Actinopteri; Beloniformes; Adrianichthyidae.